Phalacrocorax carbo (great cormorant) is the source of this 1907-nucleotide non-coding RNA. The record is from RefSeq and is a predicted model, not a curated record. Lineage: Eukaryota; Metazoa; Chordata; Aves; Suliformes; Phalacrocoracidae.
ACCAACGAAAGGUAAAGAAGAAGAAAUUGAAGGCGCUCUGGCUGACAGCUGCCUUCCUGCCGCAGGCAAGAGAGAGCCUGUCCCUGCAGGUGAGGGAGGAAGGAUCCCCCUUCGUAGUCCGCAGCGGGCCAGGCCACCGACGUGCACCGCAGGGUGGAGGAUGGCCUAGAGUCUGGAGCUGCAGAAGAGGCAGGGAGGAGAGAAGGGGAAACAAGCAUCUGAACGGCUAAAUUGUGCCAGCAGCGCUGAGAGCGAGAGUCACGGUGGAGGACGGCCUAGAGUCUGGAGCUGCAGAAGAGGCAGGGAGGAGAGAAGGGGAAACAAGCAUCUGAACGGCUAAAUUGUGCCAGCAGCGCUGAGAGCGAGAGUCACGAGACCUUGCUGCGGACGUGGUUGUCUGUCCUUCCCCCGGGGAUGCCGUUGACUGUGGCCAUCUCAGGCUCGCGUGGCUUCUCUCUGCCCGGCCUCGCCGUCCUCGCAGCGCGGGGCUCAAAAGGGAUAGACAAAGCCCUUCCCGGCUGUGGACAGGACCUGCCUCAGCUGAAGCUGGAGACACCAACGAAAGGUAAAGAAGAAGAAAUUGAAGGCGCUCUGGCUGACAGCUGCCUUCCUGCCGCAGGCAAGAGAGAGCCUGUCCCUGCAGGUGAGGGAGGAAGGAUCCCCCUUCGUAGUCCGCAGCGGGCCAGGCCACCGACGUGCACCGCAGGGUGGAGGAUGGCCUAGAGUCUGGAGCUGCAGAAGAGGCAGGGAGGAGAGAAGGGGAAACAAGCAUCUGAACGGCUAAAUUGUGCCAGCAGCGCUGAGAGCGAGAGUCACGGUGGAGGACGGCCUAGAGUCUGGAGCUGCAGAAGAGGCAGGGAGGAGAGAAGGGGAAACAAGCAUCUGAACGGCUAAAUUGUGCCAGCAGCGCUGAGAGCGAGAGUCACGGUGGAGGACGGCCUAGAGUCUGGAGCUGCAGAAGAGGCAGGGAGGAGAGAAGGGGAAACAAGCAUCUGAACGGCUAAAUUGUGCCAGCAGCGCUGAGAGCGAGAGUCACGAGACCUUGCUGCGGACGUGGUUGUCUGUCCUUCCCCCGGGGAUGCCGUUGACUGUGGCCGUCUCAGGCUCGCGUGGCUUCUCUCUGCCCGGCCUCGCCGUCCUCGCAGCGCGGGGCUCAAAAGGGAUAGACAAAGCCCUUCCCGGCUGUGGACAGGACCUGCCUCAGCUGAAGCUGGAGACACCAACGAAAGGUGAGGGAGGAAGGAUCCCCCUUCGUAGUCCGCAGCGGGCCAGGCCACCGACGUGCACCGCAGGGUGGAGGAUGGCCUAGAGUCUGGAGCUGCAGAAGAGGCAGGGAGGAGAGAAGGGGAAACAAGCAUCUGAACGGCUAAAUUGUGCCAGCAGCGCUGAGAGCGAGAGUCACGAGACCUUGCUGCGGACGUGGUUGUCUGUCCUUCCCCCGGGGAUGCCGUUGACUGUGGCCGUCUCAGGCUCGCGUGGCUUCUCUCUGCCCGGCCUCGCCGUCCUCGCAGCGCGGGGCUCAAAAGGGAUAGACAAAGCCCUUCCCGGCUGUGGACAGGACCUGCCUCAGCUGAAGCUGGAGACACCAACGAAAGGUAAAGAAGAAGAAAUUGAAGGCGCUCUGGCUGACAGCUGCCUUCCUGCCGCAGGCAAGAGAGAGCCUGUCCCUGCAGGUGAGGGAGGAAGGAUCCCCCUUCGUAGUCCGCAGCGGGCCAGGCCACCGACGUGCACCGCAGGGUCUGUACGCGUAACCCGGAGUUCGGUGGAGGAUGGCCUAGAGUCUGGAGCUGCAGAAGAGGCAGGGAGGAGAGAAGGGGAAACAAGCAUCUGAACGGCUAAAUUGUGCCAGCAGCGCUGAGAGCGAGAGUCACGGUGAGUCCUGGGCCACUGGGGCCCCAUUGCCUCUC